Molecule: ribosomal RNA, 253 nt
Filed under: uncultured bacterium
Lineage: Bacteria
Description: partial 16S ribosomal RNA
Rfam family: Bacterial small subunit ribosomal RNA
Source: RNAcentral
GACGUAGGAGGCGAGCGUUAUCCGGAUUCACUGGGCGUAAAGCGCAUGUAGGCGGUUGUGCAAGUCGUGUGUGAAAGUCCCCGGCUCAACUGGGGAAGGUCAUGCGAAACUGUGCGACUCGAGGGCAGGAGAGGAACGUGGAACUCCCGGUGUAGCGGUGGAAUGCGUAGAGAUCGGGAAGAACACCAGUGGCGAAGGCGACGUUCUGGUCUGCACCUGACGCUGAGAUGCGAAAGUGUGGGUAGCAAACGGG